UGGCAGCAGAACCGAUAAGCCGGAGACCGAGUACCGCACAGUUACACUGAAGGAAGGCCGCAUAUUGUUUAGCACUGUUAGCAUACGCAAAUGACUGCAUUACUGUCUCAUUAGGCAAAAUGUAGGCCGUCAUUAGGACCCACGCAUACGCUGCUGGGUGGUGCUCAAGCUCUUCCCUUUGAAGCCGCGGCACAAAGUCUGCUUUUAAUUAAACUCAUUUGCAUGAACAAAUAAAGUCUAAUUAAUACGAGUGUUUUAGAGGGCUCAUUUUAGUACCGGACCAAGGCGACAGCCGUUACCCUUCAAGCACAGGGAAGAUGACAGGAAACGCGAUGCGUGACGCGUGCGCAGAGAGGCCUCCUUACACCUGUAAUGCGACGUAGCUAAAUUAAAACAAUGGGAGGAGAACGGCACCGGCGCCGAUCAGCGCGAUUUACAGACCGUAAUGCUCGCUUUCGGCGGUUCCUGCGCAAACGUAACACAAGACUGCCGCAACAUCAGAACGCCAGUUACGUCGAUAGCGCCCAGCCAGGGGCGUGCGUGCAGAAGGAACCCGGUAGAACCGCCCUAAACCACUGAAAGCAAGGAAAACGCGUCGUCCUUUUAGUGAGGGCUGACGGACCGACGUCUGCUUUGUCGUACAAGGGGAUCGUUUGCUAAAUGAUGUGAAUAAUCCGCCAUUACGGCUCAGCACGCCGAGCUGGGCCUGGUUCCCCCGAGGUGAACCGGCCUGCUACCCGGAAAAAAAAACCAAAAAAAAACGUUUGAUCCAAGACCGCUUCAUCUUUCUUUAUAUCUCCAGCCCUUUCAAGCAGAGAUCAGGCCCCUUGUUUUCCAGUCCGGGGUACCUCUGUGAAUGUGAACGAGGAAUGACUGACUCAGUGAGAUGGAGUGAGUGAGAGAGUGAGGGAGAGAGAGGAGUAUUCCUCAGAAAAUAAAGCAGAAGACCCUUUUCGCCGUGCUGCGGCUGAAGCACGCUGCAGUGACCUUUCACAAGAAGUGCACCGGAAUAUUGCAAUCAGAAAGUGACAAGUGUAUUACUGACUCCCUUUUGUUAACACUGCUUUCAAAAUAUACCGUAUUCCCCUACACUCCUGACAAUUGCCGUAGAAAAACGCAUCUGAAUUUUAAAAUAAAUGUAACAAAAUGUUAGAAAGAACUAUAAUAGUGCUUAAUAUUGGUUCCCCUGCUUGAGUCAAAUACUACAACUGCUACUGAUGUUUUAUUGAUAUGUAUAAUAAUGAGAAUAAAAAUGCAUAACUAUUAACUAUAGAAUGUUGCACACAUUCAUUGACGCCUUACAUUUUAGAUGAAUUCUGAACAGUUUGGAAUAUAACGUGUGGGGUUAAUGGAUUAUUAGUCACCCACGUCCAGACAUGUGCACAUUAUUGUCUUUUAAUUAAAUUAAUAACAUUUUUUAUUAUGCUUUAUAAAUUAGGCAGUCUGAAUGGGACGGAAUAGUAGUGACACUCGUUACGAUCUUUCUGGGGUCAUUGUUGAGUCUUGGAAUAUAGCAUGAAUAAAUUAAUGAUGUGGAAUGACGUAUAUAUGGUCAUUUAUAUGCAUGACAUGGAAAUCGGAGGAUAGGCUGAUGGGCUUGUACUUAAAAGGUAAACAUGACCGUAUAUGGUACCAUGUGACCCGUAGUCCCACCGUGGAUGAGGUUUGUUUAUCUCUCCGUUUACGGCCCCGGGUCGCCGUGAUGACAUGGCCAGAGGUCGCCCUGCUGAUGGGAGUUAAUGCGGGCUGACACAUCCUGUCUCUUGGGGAGGGGGGCAUUGGGGCUGCCACCCUUUUAAUCGGUUCCGCUUUUAGAACCCGGAGAGGAAGAAGUGAAAAAUAAAUGAAAAAUGCAUCCCCCCCCCAUCCUGGAAAAGAUCCUCAGCUUGAACCUCCUUGCAGGAGCACUUAGAACAUUUUUUGGGGGGAGGUGGGUUGCUAGUGAAUUAAAUAUGGAUUUCCUCUUCUAAAGGUGCUGCAGAAAUAUGCUCUGCUUCUCCAC
Long non-coding RNA from Paramormyrops kingsleyae, 2002 nucleotides. RefSeq lists it as uncharacterized. Lineage: Eukaryota; Metazoa; Chordata; Actinopteri; Osteoglossiformes; Mormyridae. The record is from RefSeq and is a predicted model, not a curated record.